GAUGAACGCUAGCGGCAGGCUUAACACAUGCAAGUCGAGGGGUAGAGGAAGCUUGCUUCCUUGAGACCGGCGCACGGGUGCGUAACGCGUAUGCAACCUACCUUUUACAGAGGGAUAGCCCAGAGAAAUUUGGAUUAAUACCUCAUGGUAUAUAUCAUUCGCAUGUUUGAUAUAUUAAAGUUCCAACGGUAAAAAGAUGGGCAUGCGUCCUAUUAGCUAGAUGGUAAGGUAACGGCUUACCAUGGCAACGAUGGGUAGGGGUCCUGAGAGGGAGAUCCCCCACACUGGUACUGAGACACGGACCAGACUCCUACGGGAGGCAGCAGUGAGGAAUAUUGGUCAAUGGGCGCAAGCCUGAACCAGCCAUGCCGCGUGCAGGAAGACGGUCCUAUGGAUUGUAAACUGCUUUUAUACAGGAAGAAACCCUCCCACGUGUGGGAGCUUGACGGUACUGUAGGAAUAAGGAUCGGCUAACUCCGUG
Molecule: ribosomal RNA, 481 nt
Filed under: uncultured bacterium
Lineage: Bacteria
Description: bacterial SSU rRNA
Rfam family: Bacterial small subunit ribosomal RNA
Source: RNAcentral